GAUGAACGCUGGCGGCGUGCUUAACACAUGCAAGUCGAACGAUGAAGCCCAGCUUGCUGGGUGGAUUAGUGGCGAACUGGUGAGUAACACGUGAGCAACCUGCCCCUGACUCUGGGAUAAGCGCUGGAAACGGCGUCUAAUACUGGAUAUGUCCCUUCACCGCAUGGUGUGCGGGUGGAAAGAUUUUUCGGUUGGGGAUGGGCUCGCGGCCUAUCAGCUUGUUGGUGAGGUAAUGGCUCACCAAGGCGUCGACGGGUAGCCGGCCUGAGAGGGUGACCGGCCACACUGGGACUGAGACACGGCCCAGACUCCUACGGGAGGCAGCAGUGGGGAAUAUUGCACAAUGGGCGGAAGCCUGAUGCAGCAACGCCGCGUGAGGGAUGACGGCCUUCGGGUUGUAAACCUCUUUUAGCAGGGAAGAAGCGAAAGUGACGGUACCUGCAGAAAAAGCACCGGCUAACUACGUG
Molecule: ribosomal RNA, 467 nt
Filed under: uncultured bacterium
Lineage: Bacteria
Description: partial 16S ribosomal RNA
Rfam family: Bacterial small subunit ribosomal RNA
Source: RNAcentral